AGAGUUUGAUCCUGGCUCAGGAUGAACGCUAGCUACAGGCUUAACACAUGCAAGUCGAGGGGUAGCAGGGUAGCAAUACCGCUGACCGACCGGCGCACGGGUGAGUAACACGUAUCCAACCUUCCCAUAACUCAGGGAUAGCCUUUCGAAAGAAGAUUAAUGCCUGAUAGUACUUUUUCAAGGCAUCUUGAGAAAGUUAAAGAUUUAUUGGUUAUGGAUGGGGAUGCGUUCCAUUAGAUAGUUGGUGAGGUAACGGCUCACCAAGUCUUCGAUGGAUAGGGGUUCUGAGAGGAAGGUCCCCCACAUUGGUACUGAGACACGGACCAAACUCCUACGGGAGGCAGCAGUGAGGAAUAUUGGUCAAUGGGCGAGAGCCUGAACCAGCCAAGUAGCGUGAAGGAAUGAAGGUCCUAUGGAUUGUAAACUUCUUUUAUAGUAGAAUAAAGUGAUCCACGUGUGGAUUUUUGUAUGUAUACUAUGAAUAAGGAUCGGCUAACUCCGUGCCAGCCGCCGC
Molecule: ribosomal RNA, 514 nt
Filed under: uncultured bacterium
Lineage: Bacteria
Description: bacterial SSU rRNA
Rfam family: Bacterial small subunit ribosomal RNA
Source: RNAcentral